ACAGAGCACUGGCCAUAGAUUGCACAUCUAUUCCACUUGGAGGCACUAGAAUCCCUAGAAGGUGUGUCCACUAUUUUCCCAGUGGUGUAUGAAAGGCAGGCCAGCUCCUGAAGCCCAACGUUGUUCCUCAAGUUUUUUUUGCCUGGUCUGUAUCAAAAGACAGAAUCUUGAUGACUAAGACAUUUUCUUUGGAAAAUGUUAGUUCUAAAUGGCUGAUAUUGCCUGGAUUUGUUGAGGCCAGAGUUGCAGUGGCAAAUAAUCACCGAAUAAUCCUGAGGCUGGGUCAGGUGACAUAUUACAGAAGGCCAGUGGUGUGCUGUGUCCCUGGGAUAUUUGUGAAUAUUGCCACCUAAUUCAGAGCUUGCAGGUACAAGAGAGGGUAG
RNAcentral lists this long non-coding RNA (383 nucleotides) under Mus musculus (house mouse). RNAcentral's name for it is "predicted gene 28238". The record is from RNAcentral. Lineage: Eukaryota; Metazoa; Chordata; Mammalia; Rodentia; Muridae.